RNAcentral lists this ribosomal RNA (274 nucleotides) under uncultured bacterium. RNAcentral describes it as "partial 16S ribosomal RNA". It matches the Rfam family "Bacterial small subunit ribosomal RNA", at positions 524 to 796 of the family's 1533-position model. The record is from RNAcentral.
UACGUAGGGGGCAAACGUUGUCCGGAAUGACUGGGCGUAAAGGGCGAGUAGGUGGUUUGCCAAGUCAGAAGUGAAAACUGUGGGCUCAACUCACAGAUUGCUUUUCGAAACUGGUAAACUUGAGUGCAGGAGAGGGAAGCGGAAUUCCUAGUGUAGCGGUGAAAUGCGUAGAUAUUAGGAGGAACACCAGUGGCGAAGGCGGCUUCCUGGCCUGUAACUGACACUGAGGCGCGAAAGCGUGGGGAGCGAACAGGAUUAGAAACCCCCGUAGUCC